This 442-nucleotide ribosomal RNA is filed under the name uncultured bacterium. RNAcentral's name for it is "partial 16S ribosomal RNA". It matches the Rfam family "Bacterial small subunit ribosomal RNA", at positions 338 to 795 of the family's 1533-position model. The record is from RNAcentral.
CCUACGGGAGGCAGCAGUGGGGAAUAUUGGGCAAUGGGCGCAAGCCUGACCCAGCAACGCCGCGUGAAGGAAGAAGGCUUUCGGGUUGUAAACUUCUUUUCUGGGGGACGAACAAAUGACGGUACCCCAGGAAUAAGCCACGGCUAACUACGUGCCAGCAGCCGCGGUAAUACGUAGGAGGCAAGCGUUAUCCGGAUUUAUUGGGGGUAAAGGGCGGGUAGGCGGGAAUGCAAGUCAGAUGUGAAAACUCAGGGCUCAACCCUGAGCCUGCAUUUGAAACUGUGUUUCGUGAGUGCUGGAGAGGCAAUCGGAAUUCCGUGUGUAGCGGUGAAAUGCGUAGAUAUACGGAGGAACACCAGUGGCGAAGGCGGAUUGCUGGACAGUAACUGACGCUGAGGCGCGAAAGCGUGGGGAGCAAACAGGAUUAGAUACCCCAGUAGUC